RNAcentral lists this ribosomal RNA (460 nucleotides) under uncultured bacterium. Its description in RNAcentral is "partial 16S ribosomal RNA". It matches the Rfam family "Bacterial small subunit ribosomal RNA", at positions 338 to 795 of the family's 1533-position model. The record is from RNAcentral.
CCUACGGGAGGCAGCAGUGAGGAAUAUUGGUCAAUGGCCGUGAGCCUGAACCAGCCAAGUAGCGUGAGGGAUGACUGCCCUAUGGGUUGUAAACCUCUUUUGUCGGGGAGUAAAGUGGUCCACGUGUGGGGUUUUGCAGGUACCCGGUGAAUAAGCAUCGGCUAAAUCCGUGCCAGCAGCCGCGGUAAUACGGAGGGUGCGGGCGUUAUCCGGAUUUAUUGGGUUUAAAGGGUGCGUAGGCCGGUAGUUAAGCGCGCGGGUAAAUUUUGUGGCUCAACCAUGACCGGGCCGUUGAAACUGGGGGCCUUGAGUGGGCGAGAGGUAGGCGGAAUGCGUGGUGUAGCGGUGAAAUGCAUAGAUAUCACGCAGAACUCCGAUUGCGAAGGCAGCGUACCGGAGCCCAACUGACGCUGAAGCACGAAAGCGUGGGUAUCGAACAGGAUUAGAUACCCGGGUAGUC